UGGCUGAUCAGCUUAAAUGAGAAAGGCAG
Molecule: non-coding RNA, 29 nt
Filed under: Mus musculus (house mouse)
Lineage: Eukaryota; Metazoa; Chordata; Mammalia; Rodentia; Muridae
Source: RNAcentral